AGCCUGCGAUUUCAUCCCUCCUUAAGAAGUCUCCCUUUUUGUUUUUUUUCCUGUCGCCAAGUGGGAACAAGACAUAUUAUGAUUUCAGGAAACCAGUGUUUUGGAGCAGGUUGUGUAAUGAAAGGCUUGGUUGUAGGGUUGUGGGGUAGAAAUAAUGAGCCAAAGGAAAUAUUGAGGUGACCACUAAACAAAAGAAGCCAAAGCUAUCUGAGCUAGAGCCGAAGAUGGUGAAAUGUACUGAAAUUAUGUUGCGAGUCUACCUUAUUUCAUGUUUUUGCGUAAUUGUGUACGUUGUAUAAUGCUUUUGGUAGUAUUGAUAUUAUUGAAAAACACCUGCCCAAUAGUAUCAUACGGUGUAUCUUUUUUCUUCUUUUUCUCGCUCAAUUGCUUCAUAUCGAUGUUUAUGUAUCUCACAUGCAUUGUUACAGUUCUUUUUUUUUUUUUUUUCAAAUCGAACUCUUCUAAAAAAGUUAUAUCUAUUUCGGUACGUGAUCACUCAAGAGAAUAAAGAUAUUCAACUGCAUAAAAGGAUUUACAGGAAAAAAAAAAGAAAAAAAAAAUAAUCGCCAAACAACAAGUGAAUCCGGAAAUUCAAUUUUUGUUGCAAUGUAAACCAUUAACCAAUAUAGAUAAUGAUAACGUUAAAUCGGAUACAAACAUAACACACGCACGCGCGAGCGAAACCCUUCCGCACAACCGAAAUUUUGAAACACUCAACGCACAUGUUUCCCCUGCAACUUGAACCCUAUGAAUAUCCAACUGUGCUAGAGGUGCAACUGAUGAUCAAAGUACCCCAUCUGAUGAUCCAAUCGAAUCAUAUUAUAGAUAUUUCUUGCAACUUUAUAAUAUCUGUGAUAUUAAAAUAUUACACAAGUUAAAAUAUUAAGUACAGAUAUUUCCUCUAAUUCAAGUUAUUCAACUGUGAAUGGCACGCGGUUGUUCUGGAGUUACGAUCGUAAUGUAAUUAUAAAUACAUGUAGAUAACGGUUGAUAUGUAUCUCCAGGUGUUUUACCAAGAAGGUCACUCAUUUCGUUCGAAGUAGUCAGCGAUCUCUGCCGGACUACAUCAAUCAUUACGUCGGCCAAGCGUGUGCGAUUUGCAGUCAAGAUCCCACUACCACCGGUCGAUUUAAGACAAAAGAGACAUAUAUCGUAGUCUGGUGUCUUUCUGCAUGUUUCCUGGAUAAGAUUUUCGUCCAUUGGAAAGAAAACUUGGCUGCAUUGGCUUAUUGGAAGGAAUAUGAGAAAACAAAUAAGUUGAAUGAGAAAUAUGGGGGUUGAUGGAUUCAUCAUCUUUUCUGCACUUUAGGGUUUUAUUAAUGGUGUUUGCGAGAGGAGUGAGUACGUGAGUCUCUUAUAUAGGGUACGUACAUAAGGCAAAAAGGGAAAGAAUGUAUUCAAUUAACAAUUAAAUGUACAGUAAUUAAGUACAGAGAAAUGCUUUCUGAUUGCUUUCUAUAUGUUAAGAACCAUAUUUAUUCCCCUUUCAAAAAAAAAAAAAAAAAAAGAA
This is a long non-coding RNA of Rosa rugosa (rugosa rose), 1510 nucleotides long. RefSeq lists it as uncharacterized. The transcript has 2 exons. Lineage: Eukaryota; Viridiplantae; Streptophyta; Magnoliopsida; Rosales; Rosaceae. The record is from RefSeq and is a predicted model, not a curated record.